Molecule: ribosomal RNA, 406 nt
Filed under: uncultured bacterium
Lineage: Bacteria
Description: partial 16S ribosomal RNA
Rfam family: Bacterial small subunit ribosomal RNA
Source: RNAcentral
AUUGAACGCUGGCGGCAGGCUUAACACAUGCAAGUCGAGCGAGCGGCGGACGGGUGAGUGAUGUCUGGGAAAAUGCCUGAUAGAGGGGGAUAAGGACUGAAAACGGUAGCUAAUACCGCAUACUGUCAGAGGUGCCCAGAUAGGAUUAGCUAGUAGGUGGGGGAAUGGCUCACCUGGGCGACGAUACCUAGCUGGUCUGAGAGGAUGACCAGCCACACGGGAACUGAGACACGGUCCAGACGCCUACGGGAGGCAGCAGUGGGGAAUAUUGCACAAGGGGCGCAAGCCUGAGGCAGCCAUGCCGCGGGUGUGAAGAAGGCCUUCGGGUUGUAAAGCACUUUCAGCGAGGAGGCGUUACUCGCAGAAGAAGCACCGGCUAACUACGUGCCAGCAGCCGCGGUAAUUC